CUAACUUGUCCAAUGCUCGACCAACGUGUGUGUGUGCGCGCAUAAUCAAUUCAAUCACAUACCUUUUCAAAUUGGACUCAUCCCAACCCUGAAUGGUCAAUUAUUUCUCUCUUCUCUCGUGGGAUGCACCCCCAAACUUUAUUUUGUAACUAUUUUUUCAAAGGUGUGAUUUAUGGUUAAAUUUAUAUACUAUUACUCACCCUCUCUAGUUUUGUUAGAUUUUACUAAUUGUAGCUCAACAUAUCAAUAAAUGAGGAUUCUCCUUAAUUUUGACUGAUUCAACCUCCAAGAAUCAACUAAGCUACUAAUCCCUUAUCAAAUGUCUAAUUCUCUUA
RNAcentral lists this long non-coding RNA (335 nucleotides) under Olea europaea subsp. europaea. The record is from RNAcentral. Lineage: Eukaryota; Viridiplantae; Streptophyta; Magnoliopsida; Lamiales; Oleaceae.